RNAcentral lists this non-coding RNA (29 nucleotides) under Homo sapiens (human). The record is from RNAcentral. Lineage: Eukaryota; Metazoa; Chordata; Mammalia; Primates; Hominidae.
UCCAAUCUCCUGAUAGCUUCAGGUCCAGG